GAUGAACGCUGGCGGCGUGCCUAAUACAUGCAAGUCGAGCGAACAGACGAGGAGCUUGCUCCUCUGACGUUAGCGGCGGACGGGUGAGUAACACGUGUAUAACCUACCUAUAAGACUGGGAUAACUUCGGGAAACCGGAGCUAAUACCGGAUAAUAUAUUGAACCGCAUGGUUCAAUAGUGAAAGACGGUUUUGCUGUCACUUAUAGAUGGAUCCGCGCCGCAUUAGCUAGUUGGUAAGGUAACGGCUUACCAAGGCAACGAUGCGUAGCCGACCUGAGAGGGUGAUCGGCCACACUGGAACUGAGACACGGUCCAGACUCCUACGGGAGGCAGCAGUAGGGAAUCUUACGCAAUGGGCGAAAGCCUGACGGAGCAACGCCGCGUGAGUGAUGAAGGUCUUCGGAUCGUAAAACUCUGUUAUUAGGGAAGAACAAAUGUGUAAGUAACUAUGCACGUCUUGACGGUACCUAAUCAGAAAGCCACGGCUAACUACGUG
This 497-nucleotide ribosomal RNA is filed under the name uncultured bacterium. RNAcentral describes it as "partial 16S ribosomal RNA". It matches the Rfam family "Bacterial small subunit ribosomal RNA", at positions 28 to 507 of the family's 1533-position model. The record is from RNAcentral.